AGGGAUGACGGCCUUCGGGUUGUAAACCUCUUUCAGCAGGGACGAAGCGAAAGUGACGGUACCUGCCACGAAGAACGCAUCGGCCAACUACGUGC
Molecule: ribosomal RNA, 95 nt
Filed under: uncultured bacterium
Lineage: Bacteria
Description: partial 16S ribosomal RNA
Source: RNAcentral